Molecule: ribosomal RNA, 264 nt
Filed under: uncultured archaeon
Lineage: Archaea
Description: partial 16S ribosomal RNA
Rfam family: Archaeal small subunit ribosomal RNA
Source: RNAcentral
AGUCACUGACAUUAGAUACCCGGGUAGUCCAGGGUGUAAACGCUGCAGACUUGGUGUUGGAGGCCCUUUGGGGGCAUUCAGUGCCGGAGAGAAGUUGUUAGGUCUGCUACUUGGGGAGUACGUCCGCAAGGAUGAAACUUAAAGGAAUUGGCGGGGGAGCACCGCAACGGGAGGAGCGUGCGGUUUAAUUGGAUUCAACACCGUAAACUCACCAGGGAAGACUGUUACAUGAAGGCCGAGAUGAAGACUCUGCUAGAUUUUCAG